CUUGGACCAAGUAAGUGCUGCAGCGCGGGAAUUCUUCAGCAGGGGGGCUCGAGCACUGCAACCUCUCUAGGUUAGGACCUCGUCGCUUGGAAAGCGUACUGCCUCGCGGUUAGGACUCGUCAAGUAAAUCUCCAGGUAGAGGACGGGGCAAGGGCAAGGGCAAGCUGGCGAGCGACCCGAAGUGAGACCGUGGAGGGCCAUAGGGACUACCGCUUCCGCUUAUUCUUAUUUCAGAUUUUCGCAUUUGAAUUUGAGUACUUUUCAUCACUUACCAUCUUUUAUGUAGAUAGGGCCCGAGUAGGAUUUCAGAACGCUUUUACAUUUUUGCAUGACUACCUUGUUUAAAUUUUAUAAAUAAAAUUUCUUAAACCGUA
Long non-coding RNA from Cucumis melo (muskmelon), 374 nucleotides. RefSeq lists it as uncharacterized. Lineage: Eukaryota; Viridiplantae; Streptophyta; Magnoliopsida; Cucurbitales; Cucurbitaceae. The record is from RefSeq and is a predicted model, not a curated record. The transcript has 3 exons.